UGAGUUAUGGGUUGACUCAACCCA
Molecule: non-coding RNA, 24 nt
Filed under: Arabidopsis thaliana (thale cress)
Lineage: Eukaryota; Viridiplantae; Streptophyta; Magnoliopsida; Brassicales; Brassicaceae
Source: RNAcentral